GACGAACGCUGUCGGCGUGCUUAACACAUUCAAGUCGAACGGAAAGGCCCUGCUUUUUUGGGUUGCUCGAGUGGCGAACGUGUGUGUAACACGUUAGUAACCUUCCCUUGACUUUGGGAUAACUUCUGGUAACUGGGGCUACUACCGGAUAUGAGCUCCUGCUGCAUUGUGGGGUUUGGACAGUUUCGGCGGUUGGGGAUGGACUCGCGUCUUAUCAGCUUGUUGGUGGGGUAGUGGCUUACCAAGGCUUUGACGGGUAGCCGGCCUGAGAGGGUGACCGGCCACAUUGGGACUGAGAUACGGCCCAGACUCAUAAGGGAGGAAGCAGUGGGGAAUAUUGCACAAUGGGAGGAAGCCUGAUGCAGCAACGCAGCGUGCGGGAUGAAGGCCUUCGGGUUGUAAACCGCGUUCGCCGGUGACGAAGAGUGAGUGACGGGAAUGGGUAAAGAAGCACCGGCUAAAUACGUG
Molecule: ribosomal RNA, 468 nt
Filed under: uncultured bacterium
Lineage: Bacteria
Description: partial 16S ribosomal RNA
Rfam family: Bacterial small subunit ribosomal RNA
Source: RNAcentral